GAUGAACGCUGGCGGCGUGCCUAAUACAUGCAAGUCGAGCGAACAGACGAGGAGCUUGCUCCUCUGACGUUAGCGGCGGACGGGUGAGUAACACGUGGAUAACCUACCUAUAAGACUGGGAUAACUUCGGGAAACCGGAGCUAAUACCGGAUAAUAUAUUGAACCGCAUGGUUCAAUAGUGAAAGACGGUUUUGCUGUCACUUAUAGAUGGAUCCGCGCCGCAUUAGCUAGUUGGUAAGGUAACGGCUUACCAAGGCAACGAUGCGUAGCCGACCUGAGAGGGUGAUCGGCCACACUGGAGCGGAGACACGGUCCAGACUCCUACGGGAGGCAGCAGUAGGGAAUCUUCCGCAAUGGGCGAAAGCCUGACGGAGCAACGCCGCGUGAGUGAUGAAGGUCUUCGGAUCGUAAAACUCUGUUAUUAGGGAAGAACAAAUGUGUAAGUAACUAUGCACGUCUUGACGGUACCUAAUCAGAAAGCCACGGCUAACUACGUG
RNAcentral lists this ribosomal RNA (497 nucleotides) under uncultured bacterium. RNAcentral's name for it is "partial 16S ribosomal RNA". It matches the Rfam family "Bacterial small subunit ribosomal RNA", at positions 28 to 507 of the family's 1533-position model. The record is from RNAcentral.